GGAAGUCUAUCCGGGCUUUCGCGUCACCACCCUGCCCACCUGGGUGGCGCGUGGCUUACGCAACGGUCACUGGGCUCCUGGGCCGCUCCCGGGCCAGCGAGGGCUGCGAAAGAAGUUGUAGGAAUGGACGAACUGCAAGGUAGCCAAGAAGUGCGAGUACACCAAGGAAAGGCAAUAACCGAAGCCAUUCUGAAACUAAACAUGUAGAUGUGUCAGAAUCUGCAGUGCUCUUGGAAAAGAAUUCAAAAUAGCAUGUCUAGUUUCAUCCUUGAGCUUAUUCUUUGUUACUUUUUACAUUAAUUCCUUUUUAAUGGAUCCAUAAAACUGUGAAUAAAUAACACAAUAAAGCCAGCUCUACC
RNAcentral lists this long non-coding RNA (359 nucleotides) under Homo sapiens (human). RNAcentral describes it as "non-protein coding lnc-SLC9B2-1:3". Lineage: Eukaryota; Metazoa; Chordata; Mammalia; Primates; Hominidae. The record is from RNAcentral.